GUGUGUAUAUGUGUAUAGAAUCUCACCUUCUUCAUGAAAUAGGGCAUACCAAGACAACGGGCCUCCAACAACUGUGGGGUGUUUGUGCUCAUGUAUGCCCUCUACUUUGUGAUGGAGUCAGCUUUUGAUUUCAGUGAGUUGGACAUGGAGCAUUUAAGGAGAUGGUGGUGCAUGCUACUCAUUGACAACUUCCCCGUGACAUUCGAAGGCAGAAGAUCAACCAAAAGACGACUGGAGAGAUAAGACUGCGAAGACAGUCCCAGGGUAAGUAAUCAUGAUGACCCACCCAAAAGAAGUAAAGUCGUAAAGGAAAUGGCAUUCUGCAGCGACUUUGGAUGGGUAUGUAGACUGUAAUUUACUACUUAAAAUCUCCAUGGAUGUGCUCCACAGCCAUACAGUUUGUUGCUUCCACCUCUUAUUCAAGGGGGCAAUGUGUCAUGAUGCAAGUACAACUGUUUUACCAUGCAGUAGUAAUUCCUUUUAUCUGGUGUCUUCCAGAAAAAGGACCCACUGGCAAAGACGGCUGCAGAAAUUCUUGUCAGCUCUGAAGAGGAGGAUGGAGUACGUGAUAUGCUAUCUGUUAUACCUUACAUGAAAUUCACAGCACUUCCUUCUGUUCUUCUGCAGCGACUGGUAGAAAAUGGCUGAAAAUAUUUUGUACCACUGAUUUAGAUAGUGUUGCAUGUGCAAGUUUUUGUGCGUCAUAAUUACACAUUCAAAGCAUCUUGUUGCAAAUCAGCAGCAGCACUAUAAGAAUAGUAAAUGUACAGUGUAGUAGCAAUGCAUAAACUAUGUAUCUUCUUCCUGUAGGACAGCGUUUC
Long non-coding RNA from Gymnodraco acuticeps, 821 nucleotides. RefSeq lists it as uncharacterized. Lineage: Eukaryota; Metazoa; Chordata; Actinopteri; Perciformes; Bathydraconidae. The record is from RefSeq and is a predicted model, not a curated record. The transcript is spliced from 4 exons.